GGAUGAUUUGCAACGCCGAUCCUAUCAGAGGUUGCGGGAGGCGUGUUCAGUACCGGCUGGGACGGUCCCAAUAGGCUGCGCACCUCGAUAUUAGGAAGACGUUGAAUUGAGAUCACGUUGAGGGCGGGUGGCCGAAUGAAUCAGUUGGACCGGCCGUUGAUUUGCAUAGGGGGGGCAUGCUGCCCGCAAUGCAAUCUGGGAUAUCACAUCCUUUAACGUUAUCAGAGUUGGUCCUGUCAAUCAGGAGAGACAAUGGUUACAGUGAGGAGGACAAGUCUGCAGACAGAGGCCCAUUCAUAUAGUGGUGAACAUCAACUCUGCAGUCGUACAGAGGAGACAGGAGAGAGGCCAGG
Oncorhynchus tshawytscha (Chinook salmon) is the source of this 353-nucleotide long non-coding RNA. The record is from Ensembl. NCBI's taxonomy places the organism in Eukaryota, Metazoa, Chordata, Actinopteri, Salmoniformes, Salmonidae.